UAUCUAACAAUUGAAAUUGCAAAAACCCUAAUCUGUUAACACUUUUGUACUCUUCUGCCGUCUCUUCCUCAUCGUCUCUCCCCUUCCUUCCUCCGCCUCCACCGCCUGACUCACUGUCUCACCUUCCUUCAUCCGCCUCCGACUCACUGUGAUUUCCUCCUCAGCUUCCUACUUCCUCAGUUUCACCUUCAUCUUCACGCCAUUCAAGCCCGACAGAGACAGACAUCAUCAGCCUUCAUCUUCAACUAUUGUAGUGUAGUGUGGCGUCUCAUUCCUCACCUGGGUGGUUGACGCUUUGAACCCAUUGGAUUGAGCAAGUCUACUGGGAAAUGCCGUUGUUUUCAAUUGGGUUGUGAUUGCUGACGUGGCGUGCUGCUAUUGGUUGAUUGGUGGUCGUCCGCCCGUGCGAAUUUCCAAUUGAUGGUCGUUCGUUCUCACGCGUGAAUUCUUUUAUUUGCUUGCCCAGGCGUUUAGCAAUCCUUUUGUUUCCUUUUGUACGGGUCUUUGACCACCGGGUAAACUAGCAAGGGAGAGGUCUCCCUCAAUUCCUCAAUUCUUGGCUUUUGCAACAAAGCUGUUGGCUGAAGAGUGGCAGAGCUGGUCAAUCCACAUCAAUCAACUCAAUCCAUCAAUCCGUUGUACCAGAAGCUUCUUUCUCAUGGAUGAGAGGUCAGACUAUCAACUAAACCAUGAAGAAAUGUGGAAAUUGCUCUCUAAAGGAAGGAAUAUGAAGAUUUGAAGUUGACAUCUCGAAGAAGUAGUUAAAGCUGGAAAUGACCAUACUUUGGGUUUUGUUACUAGUGGAUCUGCUCUAUUGCAUGGUGCUACUCAGACAAGUGCCUCACCCUGGUCUUCAGCAUCAAUGAUAUUUCCUCCAACCCUAGGCAUGCCUUUAAAUGCUGAAUGGAAUGGGUAUCAGAUAGUUUGUUUCUGACAUCACUUCUCUAUUGUACACUGCAUUUGUCUUCAUGAUGACAUUUAUUGUACGAUUCAUGUGUUGAAUGUUCAUCUGAUGUUCAAAUUGUGGGUGGCAUUUGACAGAUGGUGUUAUCUUUGCUUGCUGAAUACCGUAUAUGAAUUUCAUCUGAUACAUUUGAAAAUCUGUCACUGUUUCCAAUUUGUGCUUGUCAAUGUGUAAGGUUUAACGUAUGAGGUUAUAGUGUAGUGAACAAGUGCUUUCUUAGUUAUAAUUGAGAUGAAGAAACUAAUUCUUAUCUUUUUGUGCCACGGUAGACUAUCUUUUUACUCACCUUUACUGUGAUAAAGAUCUUCAGAGGCUGUGUUUCUUUUUUUUCAAGACUUUGAAGUUAAUUGAAGUUAAUAAUGAUUGUUGUACUCUGCAUCUCUUUUAAAAAUUGACAAUAGGCUUGCUUUGCUAUUUCAUAGGUAAUUUUCUUUUAUACGUAUUUCAUAGGUAUUUUGUAGGUAAUUUUCUUUUAUUUUUUUUGGAUUUGGAUUAAUAUCGUUUGAUUAAAGUCUGAAAUGUCAUUAUUGCUUUGCUAAGCAUACUAUCUAUAGAACUUAUUCAAUGCUUGGCUUAAAACCUCAGGCUGUUAACAGUUGAAGUAGUUAAUUUCAAACCAUGUGAAAUGUGUGAAGUAUGUCCCAAUUAACGAUGAUUAACAAACUAAUGCUGACUGUGACAAUCAGGGAAUAGUGAACUUGAUGAAUCUGCUUUGAAACCUAUGUUCUUAAUAAUAUUGAGAUUAGCAAAACUUUAUGACCAACGUUGGACUAAUUUUGAGAUUUUACAAAAAAUGAAAAAUUGGAGAGCAACUCAUAGAAACUUUUUUGUUAUUUUCCUUCCCUAUAUAUUUAGAGUUUUGUGUUCCAUUUUAGGGAUUUUUAAUAGUCACAUGUGCUUGUGUCUUCUUUCUAUGGGAAUAGAAUAGAUAUCAAAAGUUUGAUUAAAUAAGUUGUUGCAAAAACUCAACAAUCCAUGUAAACCCUGUGAAUAUUCAAUAGGAGCAACCCUGAAACAUAAUUGAAUACCAAUUUUUUAGAUGAAUAUUGCCUUCACUAUUUUUCUUUACACCUGAAAAUUUUUAUAGAUUCUUGAUGCUAGAGUAAUAUGAACUUUAUUGGGAAUAAAAGCUGAAUUACAUGACAUUAUUUAGAGUUGCAUAUAUUUUGGCUUUUGGAUUGGAGUAUGUCAUUAGAAUAUAAAGAUAUCGUCUCUGGAGAAGUUUCUGCUUCAUUUUUACAUUUUAGGAUCUUCUUGGCCUAUUUGUUUGCAUGAUUUUAUUUCCUUUUUCACCUUAUCUUCCAUUGGCAUUUUGUGUAAAUUGCACAGCUGCAUGAUCAAGUUGUGGAAAAGUUUACUUGCAUACCAUCUCCAAGGAUCUGGCACAUCUAAUAGUUUCACUUUGGUUCUUCAGCAGUUUCUUUCGAAAUUGCUCAUUACACUUCUGGGUUGCGUUGCAGGCAUUUUGUAAACAAGGCAUAACUGGGCACAUAAAUUUUAAAACUGUCCACCGCGCAUUUGCGCGGUGAUCUCCUCCUAGUAAUCUAUAAAUCAAGGAAACUGUCAUCAUCUGGGGAUUGAAAUGUCAAGUCAGAUCGACAACUACUGCUCUAUCUUUAGUUCUCAUUCUUUUUCCGUUAUUUCAGAUUGUUUAAGCAAGUGUUUGGAAUCAGUAUAUGCUAUCACCAGAACAUGUUAAUUAUUGUUAAAUCACUGUCACCCUUUUUCUUAUUCUCGAAUCCUCUCUUCUUGUUUUGUGCGUCG
Non-coding RNA from Coffea arabica (coffee), 2728 nucleotides. Lineage: Eukaryota; Viridiplantae; Streptophyta; Magnoliopsida; Gentianales; Rubiaceae. The record is from RefSeq and is a predicted model, not a curated record.